Molecule: ribosomal RNA, 333 nt
Filed under: uncultured bacterium
Lineage: Bacteria
Description: bacterial SSU rRNA
Rfam family: Bacterial small subunit ribosomal RNA
Source: RNAcentral
CGUGUAGGCGGUUGGUCAAGUCUGGUGUGAAAGCCCGGGGCUUAGCCCCGGAAGUGCGCUGGAAACUAGCCAACUUGAGCGCGAUAGAGGAGGGUGGAAUUCCUGGUGUAGCGGUGAAAUGCGUAGAUAUCAGGAGGAACACCGGCGGCGAAGGCGGCCCUCUGGGUCGUUGCUGACGCUGAGACGCGAAAGCGUGGGGAGCAAACAGGAGUUAGAUACCCUGGUAGUCCACGCUGUAAACUAUGGGUACUAGGUGUUCGGGGUGUUGACCCCCUGAGUGCCGACGCUAACGCAUUAAGUACCCCGCCUGGGGACUACGGCCGCAAGGCUAAA